RNAcentral lists this ribosomal RNA (406 nucleotides) under uncultured bacterium. RNAcentral's name for it is "bacterial SSU rRNA". It matches the Rfam family "Bacterial small subunit ribosomal RNA", at positions 355 to 776 of the family's 1533-position model. The record is from RNAcentral.
UGAGGAAUUUUCCGCAAUGGGGGAAACCCUGACGGAGCAACACCGCGUGCGGGACGAAGGACUUUUGUCUGUAAACCGCUUUUCUGAAGGAACAAAUUUUGAGCUAACUUCAGGAAUAAGCACCUGCAAACUACGUGCCAGCAGCCGCGGUAAUACGUAGGGUGCAAGCGUUAACCGGAAUCAUUGGGCGUAAAGCGUCUGUAGGCGUCUUAAUAAGUCUGAUGUAAAAUUUUGAAGCCUAACUUCAAAAGCGUGUCGGAAACUAUUAGGAUUGAGGAUUCGAGAGGCUAGUGGAAUGCUGUAUGUAGGGGUAAAAUCCGUAGAUAUGCAGCAGAACACCAAAUGCGAAGGCAGCUAGCUGGCGAUUUCCUGACGCUGAGAGACGAAAGCGUGGGGAGCAAACGGG